This 253-nucleotide ribosomal RNA is filed under the name uncultured bacterium. Its description in RNAcentral is "partial 16S ribosomal RNA". It matches the Rfam family "Bacterial small subunit ribosomal RNA", at positions 524 to 776 of the family's 1533-position model. The record is from RNAcentral.
UACGAAGGGGGCUAGCGUUGCUCGGAAUUACUGGGCGUAAAGCGUACGUAGGCGGUUACUCAAGUCAGAGGUGAAAGCCCGGGGCUCAACCCCGGAACUGCCUUUGAAACUAGGUAGCUAGAAUCUUGGAGAGGCGAGUGGAAUUCCGAGUGUAGAGGUGAAAUUCGUAGAUAUUCGGAAGAACACCAGUGGCGAAGGCGACUCGCUGGACAAGUAUUGACGCUGAGGUACGAAAGCGUGGGGAGCAAACAGG